Molecule: ribosomal RNA, 336 nt
Filed under: uncultured bacterium
Lineage: Bacteria
Description: partial 16S ribosomal RNA
Rfam family: Bacterial small subunit ribosomal RNA
Source: RNAcentral
CCUACGGGUGGCAGCAGUAGGGAAUCUUCCACAAUGGGCGAAAGCCUGAUGGAGCAACGCCGCGUGGGUGAAGAUGCUCUUCGGAUCGUAAAACCCUGUUGUUCGAGAGCAAAGUGCGUGAGGGUAACUGUUCACGUUUCGACGUUCUCUAACCAGAAAGCUACGGCUAACUACGUACCAGCAGCCGGGGAAAUACGUAGGUGGCAAGCGGUAUCGGGAUUUAUUGGGCGUAAAGGGGACGAAGGUGUUAUUUUAAGUAUCAUGUAAAAGCCUUCGGCUUAAGCGGUGUAGUGCAUUUGAUACUGGGUGGCUUGAGUGCAGAAGAGGAGAGUGGAA